Molecule: small RNA, 340 nt
Filed under: uncultured bacterium
Lineage: Bacteria
Description: bacterial SSU rRNA
Rfam family: Bacterial small subunit ribosomal RNA
Source: RNAcentral
GUCCUAUCACAGGGAAAAAGAACGGUAACAGGAAACAGCUUGCUGUUUCGCUGACUUUUCCCGGACGGGUGAGUAAUGUCUGGGAAACUGCCUGAUGGAGGGGGAUAACUACUGGAAACGGUAGCUAAUACCGCAUAACGUCGCAAGACCAAAGAGGGGGACCCUCGGGCCUCUUGCCAUGAGAUGUGCCCAGAUGGGAUUAGCUUGUUGGUGGGGUAACGGCUCACCAAGGCGACGAUCCCUAGCUGGUCUGAGAGGAUGUCCAGCCACACUGGAACUGAGACACGGUCCAGACUCCUACUGGAGGCAGCAGUGGGACUCCUACGGGAGGCAGCAGUGG